GGGAAUCCUCAAGGACCCGAGGAUCGGGCGUGGAACGUUCCGGAGUCUCGGCGCGGGGGUCGCGGGGGCCCGAGGCGGCCGCAGGGGCCUCCUGUUAUUUCUUCAGAUCCUCUCCAUCAUCCUGUGAAGUGAGUCUUAAGUAGCCCAUGUGUUGAUGCCGGCCCAGUGACCCAGACUGCUGGAGGUAGCCUGGAGACUCUAACAGGGAUCAAUUCAAAGUAACCACGGGCGAGUUCCACGUGCACUGUCCAGGAGGGAGCGAAACAGAUGGAGCCCAUGGCCUCAGGACGCUUCCAGUUUGGAAAAGGGCACCUGACCAUAAACAGUUGGGGUUUGAGAAAUCUAGCUGUCACGUGACACUGCACUUCCAAGCCCCCAGGCUCAGAUACGGUGAACAAAUGACCAGGAGAGACCCGGGUAGCCCUGCUCCAUGCCCGCAGGCUUUGGCACUGGGGGAAUGGAAGAAGAUCCAUUUGCCAACUUGGCUCUUCUUGCCAACUCUAAGCAAAACUUGGCUUCAGAAAUGAUGAAACGCAUCCCAGUGACAUGACUGCCAAGCUGGGGGACACAGCAGGGUCCCUGGAGACCCAGAGCACGUUAAAUGGGAGUAAUUUCCUGACUAACCCCUGAUUCUCCUGGAGGUGGCUCCUGGAAUAUUGCUGAGUUUCCGGUUUGGCUGCUUUGGUCUGAAAUGGCAAACAUGUGCUCCCACUUUCUUGUGCACUGUUAGAUAUGGAGGACUUGGGGUGUUGCCCAGAGCACCAUGUGGAUCUGCAGCCAUCACAGCCACCCACUGGACAUAGACCACUGGGUUUGCAUCAACAACAACAGAAUCCAGUAGCAGUGGCAGCCAGUGUUUGCCAGGGUCCCGCUGUACAACGUGGUCUCAUUUUAUCCUCCUUCAGAGAAGGCGGGGGUGUUGUCUUCACCCUCUUUAUAGAUACCCAGGCUUGGACAGGUCAAGUAAUUCGCCCAAGACCACCCUCUAUAAAACUGUAUCCACAACCACUUCUCCCAAAUUCAAGCUUCGUGAAAGGGGUUUGCUGAAUACCUACUGUGGGCAGAUCCUUUUUCUUGAGUGCAACUGGGGAUGACAUAUCUUGCCGUUUAGAAUCAUGUCCAAGCAACAGUCAUCUGUUCCAUGUGGCUACUGAGCACUUUGAAUGUGGCUUGUCCUGAGAUGUAUUGUGAGUAUCAAGAAACUUUAGUGUCAAACACACUCUGAAUUGAAAGGUAGUGCAAAUCAGAGAAUGCAAAUCAUUUCAUUAAUAUUUUGUAUCCAUCAUAUGUUGAAAUGAUAAUAUUUUACAUAUAUUGGGUUAAAUAAAAUGUAUUAUUAAAAUG
Molecule: long non-coding RNA, 1344 nt
Organism: Bos indicus x Bos taurus (hybrid cattle)
Lineage: Eukaryota; Metazoa; Chordata; Mammalia; Artiodactyla; Bovidae
Source: Ensembl